AAAAAAAAAAUCUGGAACAGAUAAAAUAAUUUGCUCGACUUCCUCAGCUCCAAUGGCUGCGACGAUGAUCGGAUUUAACCUCUCCUGCUUCAAAUCAACAUCGUUCUUCUCACCGGACCUCAAUUCUCUCCACUCAAAGCUCUCUCUCCUAUCUCUCAAACCUUCUCCACAGCCACGAAAAUCAACAGUUAUCCGUAUGGGCGGCGGUCCAAGAACAUUCCCCGGCGGUGUAUCAAAAUGGCAAUGGAAAAGGAUGCAAGCGAAGAAACAGAAACAGCUUCUCAAAGCUAGGUUAUGCAGAGAACGUCAGAUCUACGAGAUGAGAAAACGCGCAGAGCUAAAAGCGGCGGUGGCUGAGCUUGAACGACCAUGGGAACCGAUUCAGAAACCACCGAAUCUAUUCUCAGUUUGUGCUGAUGAACAAGUUAAGGUACUCGCGGAUCGGUUUCAGAAACCUGGUGGAUUUGAUCUAUGGACUGAUAGAGAUGGUCCUCAAUUGUUUGAGAGUGUUGAUGAUUUGCCUUCUGCUAGGUUUUUUCCUAAAGGUGUUGUUCAUAGUGUCAAACCUUAUGGUAGAUUAUCAUCAACCUCUGUUGAUGAUGGUGAUUCUGAUGGUAAAGAGAGUGAGGUGAAAGAUGAAGAAAUUGGGAAGAAGCUACGUGGUCGUAGGGUGAGAAAGAGAGUUGGUAUCAGGGGGAUAGAGAGAGGUGAAGAAGGAGGUAAGAGGAGGAUUGAGAAUCGUGUUAAUGGUGGGAGAUUGAGAAAUGGAAAAUCUUCUCAGGUGUAUGAAAUGACUUUGCAGAAUGAUGGGAGAUACGAAAUUGGAUCUUAGGACAAUUCAAAGUUUUCUAUAAGUUACAGGCAUUCUUCUGUUCUAGUGUAUCAUAUCGCAGAGGGCAAGUCUUGACUCUUGAUUAUACUCAUGUGAGAAAGAUAACAAAACGACACUAAAGCAAACAGGAUUUGUGUUGUAAAGAGAUAACUCAAGUCAAAAUGUCUCUUUCAAUUGGAGUCUUCAAGCUCAGCGAAAAUUCGAUCGUAUUCCCUUAUUUGCUGCAGAAAAGUAUAGCAUAUAAAGAAGAGUGUAUGAGAAAAGAAUUAUCUUUUGUAAUUGUCAAAAGAGUUAUAAAAAGAAAGAGGCAUU
Molecule: RNA transcript, 1144 nt
Organism: Arabidopsis lyrata subsp. lyrata
Lineage: Eukaryota; Viridiplantae; Streptophyta; Magnoliopsida; Brassicales; Brassicaceae
Exons: 3
Source: RefSeq, a predicted model, not a curated record